RNAcentral lists this unclassified non-coding RNA (158 nucleotides) under uncultured Mortierella. RNAcentral describes it as "sequence contains ITS1". Lineage: Eukaryota; Fungi; Mortierellomycota; Mortierellomycetes; Mortierellales; Mortierellaceae. The record is from RNAcentral.
UAACAAGUGUUCUACUGCACUUUUUAAACAAGUACUCACCUUGUGUGAAAUGUUUGUGCUGCACGGGUCACGUCAGUGACACGUCAUGCGCAUAAUACCAACUUUUUUAUUGCAAUUUUUUUGUCUGAAGCUAUUUUUGAAUGAAAUAAUUCUAAAUA